GUGAGGAAUAUUGGGCAAUGGGGGAAACCCUGACCCAGCGACGCCGCGUGAGGGAAGAAGGCCUUAGGGUCGUAAACCUCUGUUGUGUGGGAAGAAGAGCGUGACGGUACCACACGAGGAAGUCCCGGCUAACUACGUGCCAGCAGCCGCGGUAAUACGUAGGGGACGAGCGUUGUCCGGAUUUACUGGGCGUAAAGGGCGCGUAGGCGGUCAUUUAAGUCAGCUGUGAAAUGGUUUGGCUUAACCGGAUCAUGCGGUUGACACUGGAUGACUGGAGUGCUGGAGAGGCAAGUGGAAUUCCCAGUGUAGCGGUGAAAUGCGUAGAUAUUGGGAAGAACACCGGUGGCGAAGGCGACUUGCUGGCCAGCAACUGACGCUGAGGCGCGAAAGCCAGGGGAGCAAACGGGAUUAGAUACCCGAGUAGUCC
RNAcentral lists this ribosomal RNA (427 nucleotides) under uncultured bacterium. RNAcentral describes it as "partial 16S ribosomal RNA". It matches the Rfam family "Bacterial small subunit ribosomal RNA", at positions 354 to 796 of the family's 1533-position model. The record is from RNAcentral.